RNAcentral lists this unclassified non-coding RNA (498 nucleotides) under Hevea brasiliensis (rubber tree). The record is from RNAcentral. Lineage: Eukaryota; Viridiplantae; Streptophyta; Magnoliopsida; Malpighiales; Euphorbiaceae.
GUGGAGGAAGAGGAAAAUUGGGUUGGCAAAAAAGUGGAAUACUAAGAGAUUGGAGAGUAACUUGAGUUCUCGUUUGGAUUCGAUUAGUGGAAGUACUACUUUGAUUAGGUAUAGUUUUGAUGAGAUUAAGGCGGCUACAAAGAAUUUCUCUAGGUUGAAUAUAGUUGGGACAGGAGGGUAUGGGAAUGUGUAUAAGGGUGUGUUGCCGGGUGGGAUUGAAGUAGCUUUGAAGAGGUUCAAGAAUUGUUCGGUUGCUGGUGAUGCGAAUUUCACUCAUGAAGUGGAGGUUAUUGCUAGUGUUAGGCAUGUGAAUUUGGUGGCUUUGAGAGGGUACUGCACAGCGACAACCCCUUUUGAGGGUCACCAGAGGAUCAUUGUUUGUGAUUUGAUGAAGAAUGGGAGUCUUCAUGAUCAUUUGUUUGGAACGAGACAUGAAAAAUUGAGUUGGGGUAUUAAGCAGAAGGUUGCAAUUGGCACUGCUAGAGGAUUGGCUUACCU